Molecule: ribosomal RNA, 494 nt
Filed under: uncultured bacterium
Lineage: Bacteria
Description: bacterial SSU rRNA
Rfam family: Bacterial small subunit ribosomal RNA
Source: RNAcentral
AUGAACGCUAGCGACAGGCCUAACACAUGCAAGUCGAGGGGCAGCACAAGGAGCAAUCUGAGGUGGCGACCGGCGCACGGGUGAGUAACACGUAUGCAACCUGCCUGUAAGCGGGGAAUAACCCGUUGAAAGACGGACUAAUACCGCAUAAUACUAAAUUACUGCAUGGUAAUUUAUUUAAACAUUUAUGGCUUACAGAUGGGCAUGCGCAUGAUUAGCUAGUUGGAGAGGUAACGGCUCCCCAAGGCAACGAUCAUUAGGGGUUCUGAGAGGAAGGUCCCCCACACUGGUACUGAGACACGGACCAGACUCCUACGGGAGGCAGCAGUGAGGAAUAUUGGUCAAUGGACGAGAGUCUGAACCAGCCAAGUCGCGUGCAGGAAGAAUGUCCUAUGGAUUGUAAACUGCUUCUGCAGGGGAAUAAAGUGCAUCACGUGUGAUGUUUUGUAUGUACUCUGCGAAUAAGGAUCGGCUAACUCCGUGCCAGCAGCGGC